Molecule: long non-coding RNA, 3418 nt
Filed under: Oryza sativa (Asian cultivated rice)
Lineage: Eukaryota; Viridiplantae; Streptophyta; Magnoliopsida; Poales; Poaceae
Description: long non-coding RNA (OSAT_LNC001099)
Source: RNAcentral
CGGCUUUAGGAGCAAGUGUCUUCAUGGUCUCCCGUGUUGCCAUUUCGUUGUCCUCAAACUGGAAUGCUGGAGCACAGGUUACACCGACGAAAGAGUAGUGAAGUUCAGGGUCUCUUCCUGGCGUUUUGACAAAUACACUUCCAUCUUCGGUGAAGGACUCAAUGUCGCAGGUCAAGAAGGCGCCAAACCAAACAUUUGGAGGGACUGUGUAUUGUGGCCUUUGGCCAUGCCGUAGAUCAGGUCCAACGACUGUCAUCUUGAUCUGUCCAUCGUCAUGGACCUCAAAUACCUGAAAACAUUGGGCUAGUCAGGAAGUUACUGAAGAGCGCAAGCCAUUUGAUAUUUAUGCUAAUUUGCAGACCGUGAGAGGUUCCCCCAUGUAGUAGUGCCAGGUCUCAGCACAAGGGAUGCGGUGCAACUUAGCAAUCUCUCCAGCAGGCAGCAGGAAAUAGAUGGCACUGCUCCCAGAACGGUCUACCUUAUCUAGAAGGAAUAAAACAUAAUAACAAAUUAGUGAAAACGCUAUUGCAAUAAUGUGCUAUUUCAAGUAUAAAUCUAUAGUAACUUACACAUAUUGAAAUUAGUGUUUGCAUUAUGUGAUACUCUAAAAGGGUAAGCAGACUAUGGUUAACUAGGUUAGUUUACAGCAGAUGAAAUGAGCAUGCUCUAAGAAUAGUCAAAGCUUUUGCCUGAACUUAAAAAAUCAAUAUAAGAAAGAGUAUAUUGUCAUGUGUGAGGGUGUCGCUCUGUCAGCUACUCAGCCUCUCUGGUGGUGUGUGUUACAGGAACUGAAGGUGGUCAUGCUCAUCAUCAGUGUGCUAAAUUGUAGUGUGCCAAACAAGUUAAAGAAGAACUAGCGCCCAGCUUAACCGUCAAAAAAAAAAAAACUAGCACCUAGCUUCCCGCUAUUGCUAGGCACAGCUAGUAAGAGAGCCUUGCGUACAACAUCAAUGGACCAACUUGUACCAAUUUAAGUUGUGCUAAGUUGCUAGUUGAGUCCAUGAUCACAUUGUGCCUCAUUAACACAAAACAACAAAAUCAUGAUGUAGCAGUAAUGACCAAUCAAUUUCAUGUUAGUAAUACUUCCGAACAAGUAUUCUCUUAUGCAAAACAUUUCAGCAUGGCUGUGACACCUCUGCCCUUCUGAAUCUCCUUCGAUGUAGGAACCAGUUCUUCACAAAGAAACUGCAGCAGUAAAAAAGCUCAAGAAAUGAUCCUCUCGUCGCAAGUUUAUCGAUGGACAGUCAGUAGAGAUGUCCAGAGUACAGCAUGAUUCAGAACAUCGCUAUAAGUUCAGAAACAAACAGUAAUGUUUGGAGUACUAAUGUUUGGCCCUUUUUUUAAAAUUAAUCAUGCAUUUUUUUAAUCAGAAAUUAAAUCAUCUAGUCUAAACGCUACAAAACCUGAACAAUAUUUUUGUAGUCAUCCAGUGUAGACAUCAUACACAGAGUUCAUAUCUUGUUCAUGUUGUAACCUUACUACUUCCUCCGUUUCACAAUGUAAGUCAUUCUAGCAUUUCCCACAUUCAUAUUUAUGUGCUAGAAUGACUUACAUUGUGAAACAGAGGGAGUAUUAUUGUACUAAUACACCGAAUGGGCCUUAUAAAGCCAAGUACCCCUGAAUUUUGCUAAAAUACGCACUCUAUUACAUUAUUUAGCAACAUUCCAGGCAAGAAAACAACCAGGAAUAGCAAGUUGUGCAUCUUGAAUAGUUUGGGGGAACUCAAAACCUACAAUUUUGUCUUCAGUAGAUUAUCAUUAGUUCUUUGUCUCCGAAAAUGGAUCAUAACGCACAACACCACUAAGAAGAUCUUAAUGAGCAAAUGCACUCACGCUGCUGUUUCCUGGAAUAAAUCGAACUAAACACCGAGGACAAGAAUUCACAGUUAUUUGUCAGUGGAAAUGAUAUCUAAUUGAAGAAAUCACUACUCCACCAACGCGACAUCAUCAAUAAACCAGGGGAAAAAAAACUUGAAGCUGCAGUGGUGGAAGAACCAAAAGCUUACAGCGUGGAGGGAGCGCGGACUUGGGGAGGGAGAUGGAGGGGUCGCGGAAGGUCUCCAGGUAGAAGCCGCCGUCGGGGUGGCGCUGCAGAUCCAGCAUGGCGACGAUCUCCGCCGCCGUCUUCUUCUCCACGCUCGUGAGCGCCAUGGAUUCUUCUCUCCUCUGCUCCGCCUUCUGUCCGAGGCUUCCAGCCGCUUCUAGAUUCUUCGAAUCAGGUGUUUCCCUUCUCCAGCUGGGUUCAUCUCGACCGUCGAUCACCAAAUAUGGCCUUGUUUAGUUCCCAAAAUAAAUUUUUUCACGCUGUCACAUAGAAUGCUAUAUUUGGACAUAUGUAUAGAGUAUUAAAUGUAGGAAAAAACAAUUGCACAAAUUACGUGUAAAUUACGAGACGAAUUUUUUAAACCUAAUUACGCCAUGAUUUGAUAACGUGGUGCUACAUUAAAAAUUUACUAAUGACAUAUUAAUUAGGCUUAAUAAAUUCAUCUCGCAGUUUUCUGGCAAAAUCUGUAAUUUGUUUUGUUAUUAGACUACGUUUAAUACUUCAAAUGUGUGUUUGUAUAUCCGAUGUGACGACCAAAACAUUUCGCCAACUAAACCGAAGAUCUUGUUUCUGUAAGUGGUACUCGUGCUUUUAUCCUUUGCUAACUGCACAAAGGGUCUCAUCGGUUGCUCUGAACUGAUUAUAAGCCAUGACAGUUUAUUAGCGGCUAAAAAAGUUGAAAAUAUCUUAAAAUCUAGUUUUAAAUUUUAAAUUUUGGUUUUUGCUUUGGGUUUUUAGACAACAAAUGAGGGAGCAGAGAAAUUGGGCUAAGAACAGAGACUUAGGGCAAUAUUAGAGGUUGAUUACCAAAGAGGAUACAUUUGGGAGCAGAGAGAAGAAUGGGACAGAUGAGAAUAGGCCUUGAGAAGAAAAGUGGUUCUGCCAGGAGAAACAAACUGAAUAUUUCCGAAAAAAUAGUGAGAAACUAUGUCACCAAACCAAUACUAAAUACUACUAACUGGUCAGUGAUGAUACAUGCAAGCUUCAGGCCUCAGGGUUUCUGCCCUGCAAACAUCAGUAGCUUGGUACAUACAGUUCAUUACGUAGAGCGAGCUACUUGGAGUGGAAUAAAACUCAGUCUGAAGGCACAAGGUAGUUGAUGAAAGCUUCUGCUUUAGGAGCCAAAGCUUUCAUGCUCUCCCGUGUUGCCAUUUCGUCGUCUUCAAUCUGGAAUGCUGGAGCACAGGUUACACCGACGAAAGAGUAGUGCAGCUCAGAGUCUCUUCCAGGCGUUUUGACAAACACACUUCCAUCUUCGGUGAAGGACUCGAUGUCGCAGGUCAAGAAGGCGCCAAACCAAACAUUUGGAGGAACUGUGUAUUGUGGCUUUUGGCCAUGCCGUAGAUCAGGUCCAACAACUGUCAUCUUGAAUUGU